Bombus huntii is the source of this 7476-nucleotide long non-coding RNA. RefSeq lists it as uncharacterized. Lineage: Eukaryota; Metazoa; Arthropoda; Insecta; Hymenoptera; Apidae. The record is from RefSeq and is a predicted model, not a curated record. The transcript has 2 exons.
CCUUUCUGGUAGCGGAAAAUAAGAGCGUGUCAAUGCUAUCGACGUAGAUCGAGCUUAUCCUGAACGACCUCGUGUUUGAAUCUACCCGCGGAACAGUCUCGAGUUUAGUUAUGUUUACAGGUGUCGCGCUCGAUUCCCUUCGACACCUUGGCCAGUGAAUGCCGAGAGCUCGGAACGAUCGUUGCGUGACAAGACGAUUUGCGUCGCGUUCACGCGUUUCUCAAGCUAGAAUUUUCGAACGUUUUACGACGUGGUCAUAAACGUACACGUGUUGCGUGUUCGUGGCGAGUGUCGCGAUGCUUCGCGAGUCUGUAUCGAGUAGCGAUAGAAGAUUGAUGUGAUCCGAUGCGAUCGGAACGGCAGCGCGUACUCUGACUGAACGCAGUCCGUAAACCACUUCACGUUAUUAUGUUCGGGACGAGGAGCGAGAUAGAGCUAUCCGCAGCGAUAGAGCGACGAACAUCAACUCGAGACUAUCUUCCGGCAAGUGCGAGGAAAGGGCCUCCACUUCGUGUGCACUUCGCCGACCUGUAACAAGAAGGACCUUCUACUUUGCUGAUAUCGAUGCACUUCGUGGAUUUAUGAACGAUCUACAAAGUAAUUGUGCAGCGAAGCGGUAACGCCAUGGUUGAUGAAAGCUGGGACUUUUUCGAAGAGACAAAGUUGAAGCGCGAAUUUGACAAGAAAGGAAACGCUCUGCAUUAUCCGUCGAUCGUUAACGUUAUGACGAUCGUUUAGUUUCACGCCAACAAUGGAUAAGAUAUGAUUUUUGUUAUUUAUAAGAAAAUUUAACGACUUUGAAUAUUUCUCGCUAGUCAUCAUAACGUUAAUAACCAUUACGAUUAUUGUACCAGAAGACUCGAGAAAUGUUAGAGAAACGAUGAAGAAUCUCGAUCGAUUUCAAUAGCAUGCAAAGUUUCGCAAGAGUUAUUAUGAAAAUUUGAUAAAACUGAACAAGCUUUCUAUUGCAAGAUGCGAGAACGACUAACGAAAGAAGAAUAAAUUGAAUGAUAAAAGAGUUUACUGGAAGCAUCCAUGAAUCAAUUAUACGACCGAGGCAUUUGAUACGAUUCUAUAACGUUUCGCUUUUGGACAUUCGUUUCCCAGCUAUUACGGCUGACCGAACGUUGCGGUUCAAUCGUAAAUGGCGAUUGCUUGCAAAUUUAAUUGAAGUUUUCAUCGAGCGCAGCUUUUCAAAUUAUUGCGUUUCUAUAGUGUCAUAUAUGGAGGGAAAGAGAUGAAGAAUAAAAAAAGGAAAGGAAGAAAGGAUCUCCACUGUAAAUACGAUAGCUUGGGUCUUUUCGUCGCGAUUCGAUUCUCGAGGAAUCGUAUUCAACGAGACGAAUAUAAUGAACCGUGACAACCCGAAAUAACAUUGCGUAAAAAGCAAUCCUCCGAGACGGUCGAUCUGUUUCUUUUAUCCCGUCUGCUCUGUUCAGCAGCAACGCGAACGAACAGAAACUUGUGACGUACGAGUCGCGAUACAAAUUCGCGUCUCAUGAAACUUUCAUUACCGAUUGAUUUCUCGCUUGGUAGCCGAUUUACAAAUCGAGUAUUAAAAUGCGCUCUGGAACAGUCGCGUUUUCACCGACAGACAAAUAUAUCCCUUCUAUCCGUUCCUUUUAACAUCGUCGAAACAGAGAUUUCCGCAUUCGCUAAGGAUUUCCCAAGGGGCUAAUCGUUUCUCGAUUAGUACGGUGACUACUUAUGAAUCGUCGUACGUGAAAAGGACUGUUUAAUUAACGAUUAUUCGGAAGAGAUUUCGAGUUCGACGAUGGUUUCGGUGACUCCAUAGAAAAAUUCUCGCAUGACGAGCAUCAGCGAUAACGGUAUUGUAAUUGGUAGCCGGAGAUUAACGAUAAACCAUAUCAGCUGCUCCGGCCUUUGCCAGCACGGAUUGUAUGCAUAUUGCAUGAGCUUCGGUCUUUUAUUAUUUUUCCUUGCUUUUUUCGUUACUCUUUUAAUACACGACGGUGGUCGUGAUCUCGCCAGUUGAACCAGCGAGAGCAUAAUCAAACUGCUUUGAAAGAAAAAAAAAAAAAAAAAAAAAGAAAAAGUAAAGACAAAAGCUUCGCAACAGGAGAACUAUUUUAAGAGUUAUAUCGAUGAGUUUUCAUCUUGAUGUGUUUAUAGGAAAACUAAGCGAGCUGAAAUUUUCGAGCUCGAUGAAUUACACGAGUAUUUCGCUUUUAGAUGAAACAAAAACGGAUGCAAACGCGUACCGAAAUCGAAGCUUUCUACGAGUUUCUAAAAUUCUACGAAAGCCUUUAAACUCUGUACAACGUUCGAAACGAUAAUAACGUAUAAUUGAAAUAACUGAAACUAGGGAUCCAGAACGACAGUCAAAAUUGUCCCUUAAUUGCGUCCUCGCUUAGCUCUGAAUGAAAAAGAAAGGAAAGAAUAGGAAACAAUUUUCUCUAGUUCUUAGGGGACGAUAAAUCUUCGACGGCGUAACUUAAAGCAUUUUCCUGUAAUUCUCAAAUCGGCGCUCUUAAACGUUCUCAACUUGUCAGCCGAAUUUCCUGUCGGAUUUCGGCUAGCAGUUUGUCCAGGGAUCGUUCUAGGAAAGUUUCCAAGCUCGCGAUAGCUCGCGAUAACUCGCGUUCGACGAACGAAAAACACUCGAGAACGGGAUAGCGUGGCGUCUGCUCGAUUCGAAGGCGAUGUCGGAAACAGGACAGGGAUUUUUCUUACGAGGACGCGUGCAUCGUCGCGUUCGGUCUGUUUCUGUGCGUCACGAGACGCGGUUGGAUCGGAGCCAAAUCGCGGCGACGUCGCACAGAUCGGGAAACUGCGCUUGUCGCCGCGAUUCGACAGCUUCUCGACUCUCGACGAAUUCCUAACGCAAAUAGGAUCGGCGUUCUUAUUCGUUUCGUAGAUUUCGGCCAUCCGGUUGAACGGUCGCUUGCCUGUUUGCUUUAAGGUAACGAUGUUUGCUCGAAAUAUUUAAUAUAUACAGUGCUUCUCUUAUUGAUUUUGCAGAAUAUUUGAUUGGUAAUAUUAUUAUCGUGGUUAGGUUAUUUUUACUACGCAUGGAUGAAGAUAUAGAUAGUCUGUAAUAUAUACAGGCACAUCGAAGUACCUUCUUGAGCCAUCGUAUAAGAAUAACAAAAAUAUGUAUAUUCUAGAACGUAAUCCGAGAAGAUUAACUUUUCUUGCAAAAGGUUUACAUAGAUCGGACGUACAUAUAAAAAUUUGAUACUCUUACUUAAUAACGGGCCUUACAUUGGCGAGUACAGCUUAUCGUUAGUAAUAUCUUGGCAUGCUUUGGAAUAACUUUUUGGCAUAUGAGACAGGUAGCGAGCGUCAUAUUUUUCGAAUAGGAUUUGCUUGAAUUUUAACUUUUGAAUGCGUUUGCUUUGAACUUUGCAUUGGAAAUUUGCAUAUGGACUUUGCAAUGAGAUUUGCAUAGGAAAACUGGGAUGGGGAUUAUAUUAAAACUAUUGCUUUUAAAAAAUCAUGCCGAAAAUCGAUUGACGUAGGGUCCAUGAAAAUAUCUAUCAGGAAAUACGCUUUUUCUGUAACGAUUCUCUGAAAAUAAAUUUUCAUUAAAGCGUCAUACGAAUAAUACCGAUCGAGCUCGUAAGAUCUCAUCUCUCAGACUUGUUUACUUGAUUGACGCAGUAGAGGCAUACGUAUUUAACAGAGAUACAUUAAGUGUUUCGAACAGCGUAGUAUUUAAUGAUAAUUUUUCUUGGAAAGGAUUAGACUCAUCCUUAAGUAAGAACGUAUUAGUACCUUGUUACAAAGAAAAUUCAUCUUCAGAGAUAUUUCUUCCGAAGUAUCGUAGCUUGCAGCUUCACUAGCAAUAAAGUAGAUAGAAAAUAAAAAGAGAGAGAAAUAGAACAUGAGCCAAAAGCUGGGAUAAGAAUUAGAGUAAGUUGGAAGACUAGAACAAUAGAGUGAUGUAUCCUGGCGGGACCUGUAGCCUGUACUUUGAAACUUCUCGUACAAAAUAUAGUGGUAACAUAGAAAACGCGGGGGAAAAAUAAAAUUUGCGGACAGCACUCUCUAAAGUGCCAUCUAAGCGAGACGAGGUUUCCCUGUUGAAGCUCCGGUCUCUUCUUCCUUUUCUUUUUUUCUUUAUUCGAAACCUCGCCCUUGACGUCACACUGAUGUAUCUUUAUUUUUACACAAGCACUACAUGAUGCAGUCCAACGUUUCGGUGUUACGUUUAUAAUACGCGAUAAGAGGCGAUGAUAUAUGAACGUGGAUCGUACAGACCUCGCUUAAAGUGUAUAUUACUGGCGCGAAGAACUGGGAUUGCAUACCUAUAUCCCGUAUCUCACAGGAUGAUGUAAAUCGAAUCUUAAAGCUAACAGAAUCGUCGUGGAGCAAUAAGAAUCGUACUUGCGUGAGAACAACGGUAUAUACAGGGUGGUUGGUAACUGGUGGUACAAGCGGAAAGGGGGUGAUUCUAAAAUUUUUAUUCUAUAUUUUCGACUCCUUUUUUCGCGUAGAAUCACCUCCUUUCCGCUUGUACCACCAGUUACCAACCACCCUGUAUAAACAUUCACAGUUCGAGACAAUUUCGAUAAUUCGGACUCGAGAUAUUUAUGACACAUUCUCGGAGUAAGUCGUGAACGAAAGAAAGAAAGGCAAAUUACAUCGAUAAGAAUGGAUUAGGGAGAGAGUGCGAGAAAGCUUCAUUCCACUGUGUCGUAAUAUCGUUCAAUGUUUGAUAUUUAAACACGCGUUCGCGUAUUACCAUUAAUGUGAUAAAUUGGCCUUAAAUCAUUUUAUGUACACACGAGCGAUGAUGUUGCCAUCAUUAAACACGAAAGAUCUAUCGAGAAUCACGCAAUUAUUUUACUAUCUUUCGUAAAAAAGAUCUCCUCGUGACUCACGAGAAUGUUACGAGUCUCUUAAAACACCCGGGAAAAACAAACGAAUGUUAUUAACUUAUUACCGUGUGACUAAUAAGACUUUAAGUAUGGGCGUAAUGCCGAUAAGAAGAGAAACAUCUCUCGCGAAAUUACAUCUGGCCUAUUCUUCAACUGAUUUCAAGGAACGAGAGAACGAAAAGAAGAGGAUGCAAAGUACACUCUGCGCUAAAAAUACAUAUUUGUUUAAACGAGUCUGUUGUGCGUUCAUUAAAUACGUCGCUGUACGCAAAUACUGUUUCAUUAAACGUUUCGAGAAACGUUUUGCGUUACGAAAAUAUGCAUCGAUGUCUGUAACUGUGACAUUGGUAAAAAUACUUGAUCUAGAGAGAAAAACAUUCGUGAAAUAUGCCACAUAAUUCGUCUAUCAGAAGUCGAUCGCCCGGCCCCCGGCAAACAGAGAUCUAUCUUAAUUAGCAACUUCAUUAACGACGAUAAGGACAUUAUUCGACUCAGUGCUCGCAUCAUCUGCGGCAGAUCCAGAUCUUGCGUCACUUCCACUAUUAUCAAUCAUAGAAUUCGAGUUCUCUCUUCAACGUUAAUCGAGAGCGAAGAGGGAUAAGCAAUUUAUACCGCGAUAAAUACCAAUCUUCCAUUUAACGAGAAUAUUCGUGUUAAACGAUAGCGAAAUUUAUCCAUACCUUUCUUUAAUAUAGUCGAGAGUAUCAAUUAGAAAGUUCGUACGAGCGCCUGCAUCGCCUACAUCGAGUGUAAUAAAUAAUACAUCCAUUACCUCGUUAACGAAUGUUAAUGCAAAACAAAUGAUUUCUAUAAAACGAAAAAAGAAAUGAAAAAAAAGAUGAUCUCAUUGCGACUGUUUAGAACAAUGAUGAAUAGGUGAUGAAUGUUUGUGCACGGUGUUAGCUGCCAGAAUGCAAAGUUUAUUUUUGUCGAUUAGGCAACUGGAAUGCAAUAGUAGUUGUUUCUUUCAUAAAGUAUUUUUGGCAAUGAUACUUGACAACGAGCGACGUUUAUUUCUCGCGAAUGUCUCAUGAGUGUUUAUUUCUUUAUAUGAGCGAAUAACAAAGUUUAAUCAGGUCGGUACUUGAGAGCGAGCUACAUCUCGAUAUUUGUUACUUAUUAAUCGAUUCGUUAUUUUUUUUUUUGGGGGGGGGGCAAUGAAUCGCGCGUAAUUUACAGGCAAGAAAAUAUAAUAUAACAAGAGAUUCUAUUAUAUCUUGAAAAUUGUCCCUCGUGUUCGCAUACAUCGUCGCGUAUUGCCUAAAUACUCAAGGAACGAGUAAGAGAAUCUUACGCAAUCAAAGCGUCAUUGAAGGUCGAUGCGAGGUGAAUUUGCAGAUUGAAGCUCUGCUCGCGAGCCACUGUAGCUCAAAAGACAUCCUCAUCGAUAAUUUCAUUAUAUUGUCAAAAUCGACACGGCCCGAUGGUGUCUGCAUUUGAGCACGAUUGCCAGCCCACUUCUGGAUGAGUUGAUCCUCACGGUGCACUACGGUACGUCAUUGCGCAUUGCUGCGCCAUCGUUACACUUGGCUAUCCUCCAGAUGCAUCGGGGACCGAUGGCGAGCGCCAAGGGCCAGAAAAGUUCGACUCCUGGUCGAUUCUGGAGUCGCGACGUGAUUUAAAUUUUCGCCGAAGUCGAUCGAACUCGUUCCAUGAGACUUUAGAUCUCCCCAGAUUCGUUAGAGUAUUCUCUUUGCUGCACUUGCACUCUGAUUAACUUUACUCGGUCUGAUUAAAGACCGUAUAAUCCCCUGUGUUCCGUGAAAGAUUUUCGCGUUGGUUUCGGCAGUCGUUCUUGUCGUGCAACUUUAUAAAUUAUGCGCGGCUGCUUUUUCGUUCAUUUUGAUGAUUAAUCUAUCCCACUGCAAGGACAAUUAAUUUAUCAGCGUCGAGACCGCUGCGGAUUAUUUGUUCAACUGAAUACAAGUAUGUGGAAGUUACGUUUUGCUGCGUUUUAUUUGAGUUGGAUCGUUUUAUCGAUCUCUGCGAUUUAUUAUUAGCUCGACCCGCCAAUUAUAAAUUACAACGAAAAUUCACGAACAACGUGGAGUACUUCUAUUACAGAAAGUUAACCACACUUCGUUUGUCAAUUUCGAUCUAACUAACGAGUCACGGUUAAAUUUAAUUUAAACAUAAGCUAAAUUACCACAUAUACAUAUCUACAUACAGCAAGUCUGUAUCGCGGAAUGAAAUCUAAAGCCACAUUUUAAAAAAGUUUCCGUUUGAAUUGUUGUAUGUCAAUAUGGAUUCAGUUUUUUAUCAAAAUUUUUUGCUAGCUCUAAGCGCAAAAUAUAUAUCGGGAGAAUUCCAUCCAAUAGUUUCAACGGUUACAUCGGCGAAAAUUUUUCAAUCGUUUAUGGUGACAGAAUCGAUGCUCUGACACCUGACGCGUGACGACAGUUGCAUCCAAUGCGAUCAUCAAUCGGCCAACGAUCGUCGCCAGAACUCGACACGUUUUCACAUUUGAUGAGUCAACACAUCGCGAACGAAUUCGCUGUUUUUACUCGGAUAGUGCGAUCGUAAUCGUGAAUCGCGAUGAUUAAUCACGUUUUAUAUCUUUCUCAGAAAAUUGCCUUAAUGUUUCUCGUAUCUUGUAUCUAUAUUCAUAUGAUAGACUCGACAUUUACGUUUA